UGAACAUGUUCGAGAGCCGCAUUGGCCCGGU
RNAcentral lists this small RNA (31 nucleotides) under Bombyx mori (domestic silkworm). Its description in RNAcentral is "ovarian small RNA-30701". Lineage: Eukaryota; Metazoa; Arthropoda; Insecta; Lepidoptera; Bombycidae. The record is from RNAcentral.